GUGGGGAAUAUUGCACAAUGGGCGAAAGCCUGAUGCAGCAACGCCGCGUGAGGGACGACGGCCUUCGGGUUGUAAACCUCUUUUAGUAGGGAAGAAGCGAAAGUGACGGUACCUGCAGAAAAAGCACCGGCUAACUACGUGCCAGCAGCCGCGGUAAUACGUAGGGUGCAAGCGUUAUCCGGAAUUAUUGGGCGUAAAGAGCUCGUAGGCGGUCUGUCGCGUCUGCUGUGAAAACUGGAGGCUCAACCUCCAGCCUGCAGUGGGUACGGGCAGACUAGAGUGCGGUAGGGGAGAUUGGAAUUCCUGGUGUAGCGGUGGAAUGCGCAGAUAUCAGGAGGAACACCGAUGGCGAAGGCAGAUCUCUGGGCCGUAACUGACGCUGAGGAGCGAAAGCGUGGGGAGCGAACAGGAUUAGAUACCCCGGUAGUCC
RNAcentral lists this ribosomal RNA (430 nucleotides) under uncultured bacterium. Its description in RNAcentral is "bacterial SSU rRNA". It matches the Rfam family "Bacterial small subunit ribosomal RNA", at positions 354 to 796 of the family's 1533-position model. The record is from RNAcentral.